This 517-nucleotide ribosomal RNA is filed under the name uncultured bacterium. Its description in RNAcentral is "bacterial SSU rRNA". It matches the Rfam family "Bacterial small subunit ribosomal RNA", at positions 791 to 1310 of the family's 1533-position model. The record is from RNAcentral.
UAGUCCACGCCGUAAACGAUGUCAACUAGCUGUUGGGAUUUAUCUUAGUAGCGAAGCUAACGCGAUAAGUUGACCGCCUGGGGAGUACGCGCGCAAGCGUAAAACUCAAAGGAAUUGACGGGGGCCCGCACAAGCGGUGGAUUAUGUGGUUUAAUUCGAAGCAACGCGCAAAACCUUACCUGGGCUUGAACUCCUGAGAACGGAAAGUAAUUUUUCCGGUGCCCUUCGGGGAAUUCAGUGAGAGGUGCUGCAUGGUUGUCGUCAGCUCGUGCCGUGAGGUGUUGGGUUAAGUCCCGCAACGAGCGCAACCCUUAUCCUUAGUUGCCAGCACGUAAUGGUGGGGACUCUAGGGAGACUGCCGGCGUAAGCCGCGAGGAAGGUGGGGAUGACGUCAAAUCAUCAUGGCCUUUAUGCCUAGGGCGACACACGUGCUACAAUGGUAGGUACAGAUGGUAGCGAAGCCGCGAGGUGUAGCCAAUCUGAGAAAGCCUAUCCCAGUUCGGAUUGGAGUCUGCAA